This 2194-nucleotide long non-coding RNA is filed under the name Homo sapiens (human). Its description in RNAcentral is "HSALNT0053836". The record is from RNAcentral. Lineage: Eukaryota; Metazoa; Chordata; Mammalia; Primates; Hominidae.
GUUCCAUCCAGAAAGGCGGGGACAACUGGAAGCAGGAAGGGGGGUUUCCAGGUCACAGGUCAUCCUGUUGCCUGGGAUGAAGUGUCACAUAGUUUGAAUCCACAUUGCUUGCUGACUUCAUGGGGUGAAUGAACUUUUCCAAGAUUCUGGAAGCCUAUUGUAAUUUGUGUUCUCUACAUUUUCCUGAGGUCCCAGGGAUGCCGUGACUACUAAGCUCUAUGGUAGGAGUUGGGGCAGGAGGUGAGUAGAGGUGACCAAUGACUGGUGUGCCAAGGUCUUUCCCCCUCUGAGAUUCCAGUCAAUUCCAGGCAUGGAGUUGUGGUUAAAAGAACCUCAGAUGACAUAAGAACAAUACAACGGACAUUGGGGACUUGGAGGAAAGAGUGGAAAGGAGGCAAGGGAUAAAAGACUACAAAUAUGGUGCAGUGUAUACUGCUCAGGUGAUGGGUGCACCAAAAUCUCACGAAUCACCACUAAAGAACUUACUCAUGUAACCAAAUACCACCUAUAUCCCAAUAACUCAUGGAAAAAUAAACUAAAAUAAUUUUAAAAAAGAUUUAAAUAUAACCUCCUCAGAAAGGCCUUUCCUGACCACUCAAAGAUAGCCACCCAGUUACUCUCUAUAUCAUUCAGUUUUAAUUCCUUAAUUAGCUCAUGCUGUUUAUUUUGUAAUUGUUUGUUCCCCACUCCAGAUAUAAAACACAUCAGAGCAGGACCCUUAUCUUGCUCAUCGCUGUAUCCCAGAGUGCUCGAUAAAUAUUUGUUGAUUGAAGGACCGUCUUCCGAUUCAGUGACAGAGAGGUGGGCCAUGAGGGAAAUAAGGAAAAAAGUAGAAACAGGAAAUGAAGAAAAUCAGAAACAAUUUAAUACUCUAUUGUGUGCAAAAAUGAAGUAGAAAGAAGAGACAAGAAAAUGUACAUAAAGGGGUUAGAAGAAGGAGAGAGGAAAAUAAAUUACUGUUAUGUUUUGGAAAAACUCUUAACUAGAGGGAAGGGAACUAACUUUAUUGAGCUCCCUCUAUGUAGGAAACCUAAAUUACCAGAUGAUGUGGGGUUUUUGUUUGUUUGUUUGUUUGUUUGUUUUUUUGGACAGAUUUUAUUUCAACUUAGAGUCAUCACCAAAAUUACUUUCCUCAUUUUCAACCUUUUCCUAGGAAGAAAAGAAAGUGAGCUAUUUUAUUCUAUAGAAAGAAAAACAAAUGCCUAUUUGUUUUCAUCAAGUGAAAUUGUCAAGGAUGACUGGCAGUGCCAUUCACUGAGAAAGAGUACUAGAAGAAGUGUUUUGCAGGGAAAUCAUGAGUUUCAUUUUUAACAGGUUAAAAUUGAGAUAUUUUGAAAUAUUCAAGUAAAGGUGUUGACAAGAUAAUGGGAUAUAUCACUCAGAGGAGAGGUCUGAGCUGGAGGUCUAAAUCUUUGAUGUAUGGAUGAUAAUUGAAGCCAUAGGCAUGGAUGUGAGUGUCUAGAGAGAAAGAACAGCAUAUGAAAAAAAUGGGGUUUCAUGGAUGUACCUUAAGGAGCUCCAGUAUUUAAGGUUUAGGUGGUAGGAGACAAGCUUUUGAAGGAGACUCAGAAGGAAUGGUCAGGAGAAUAUGGUUUUAUGAAAACCAAGGGAAUAUACUGUUUCAAGGAGAAUAAUGGUCAGCAGAGUUGAAUGCUGCUGAGACACCAAAGAAAAUGAGAAUUGAAAAUGUUUAUUCCCUUUAGUGACAUUGAAGUCUUUGACCUCAGUGAAAGUAAUUUUAGCAGAGUGGAGAUGGAAUCUGAGUCAUUUUAACAUCCACAGUACCUUUCCAUAGAGUAGAUAUUUGAUAUGUUUUUUCAUUUGCUUUACCAUGAAAUGUAUAAUUAUGCAGCAGAAUGUAUAACGUAUAUGUAAUAUUUGAAGAACAAAAUGAACAACAUUUACCCAUAACCUGUUAGGAAACAACUUUAGAAGACACCUGUGUGUCCCUCCCUGCUUGCAUCUAGCUUCUUCGUCUGCCCAGGUGGACUGCUCUUACCGUUGCAGUAAGUGUUCCCUUGCUUCUCUUUUAUAGUUUUACUGCCUAUGAGUGAUUCCCUAAACAAUACACUGUUAUUUUUAAAAUAUACUUUUUUAGUUUUAACUGGUUUUGAACUCUUUAUAAAUGGAAUUAUACUGUAUUCAUUCUGAAAAUAAAAAGAACCUCAGAUGAACCAAGGAUAAUAAAGUGCUG